ACACGACUGUCGACAACGGAUAUCUAGGCUCUCGCAUCGAUGAAGAACGUAGCAAAAUGCGAUACUUGGUGUGAAUUGCAGAAUCCCGUGAAUCAUCGAGUUUUUGAACGCAAGUUGCGCCCGAAGCCAUU
This 131-nucleotide ribosomal RNA is filed under the name Galium asperifolium var. sikkimense. RNAcentral describes it as "5.8S ribosomal RNA". It matches the Rfam family "5.8S ribosomal RNA", at positions 1 to 127 of the family's 154-position model. Rfam says of the family: 5.8S ribosomal RNA (5.8S rRNA) is a component of the large subunit of the eukaryotic ribosome. It is transcribed by RNA polymerase I as part of the 45S precursor that also contains 18S and 28S rRNA. The record is from RNAcentral. RNAcentral also lists the same sequence under 3 other names. Lineage: Eukaryota; Viridiplantae; Streptophyta; Magnoliopsida; Gentianales; Rubiaceae.